CGGACCGGNCGGACGGGUGCGUAACGCGUAUGUAACCUACCUUUGACAGGGGGAUAACAUCGAGAAAUUGGUACUAAUACCCCAUAACAUCACCGGAGGCAUCUUCGGUGGUUGAAAACUCAGGUGGUCAGAGAUGGACAUGCGUUGUAUUAGCUAGUUGGUGAGGUAACGGCUCACCAAGGCGACGAUACAUAGGGGGACUGAGAGGUCAACCCCCCACAUUGGUACUGAGACACGGACCAAACUCCUACGGAAGGCAGCAG
Molecule: ribosomal RNA, 263 nt
Filed under: uncultured bacterium
Lineage: Bacteria
Description: partial 16S ribosomal RNA
Rfam family: Bacterial small subunit ribosomal RNA
Source: RNAcentral